Phrynosoma platyrhinos (Desert horned lizard) is the source of this 71-nucleotide non-coding RNA. The record is from the annotation of a GenBank genome assembly. Lineage: Eukaryota; Metazoa; Chordata; Lepidosauria; Squamata; Phrynosomatidae.
GCUAGAGUGGAGGAGUGGUUUCAAGGUUGGACUGAGACUCUGAAGGCCUGGGUUCAAAUCCUCGCUCAGCC